Non-coding RNA from Microcebus murinus (gray mouse lemur), 1099 nucleotides. The record is from RefSeq and is a predicted model, not a curated record. NCBI's taxonomy places the organism in Eukaryota, Metazoa, Chordata, Mammalia, Primates, Cheirogaleidae.
CAACAGAGCAAGACUCUGUCUCCAAUAAAAUAAAAUAAUUUAAAAUGGUUUUUAAAGAACAUUUUCUUAUUGUCAAACAUUUGAUCAUCAAUAUGAUAAUGGAGAAACCACAAAAAUAACUACAUUGCACUUUAUACACCUUUAGCUUGUUCUCUGCUAUUCUAGGCUUGACUGAGCCAGAAGAUAAAUAUAGACAAAAAUUAGCACCCUUGCACAGAAAAGAGGAUAGAGUCUGCAUGAGUGAAUAGGGUUUUGGUAUGAAUCAGUUCAGCGAAAAGUUUACAAUUAUACCAAGCUCUGGGAAUUACAGUUCUCAGAGUAAAAAGUUGGCUAGAAAGUUAGAAAAAAAGGUGAUGAUGGACCUAAACCAAAUUUAGCCCUCCUAACUAACUACUGAGGAUUAUAUAGGAUGUCAUCUGAUUUUUCCCUUUCAUAUUUCUCUCUGAUUCCUAAGUUUUGCUUGAUAUAAAUGAUAGAGGAGGAGGAGCUGAAUGCCUCCACAAAUAUGAACAGAAAUUCUCCUAUCACAUUAAGUCUCCAUGAAUGAAGUUAGUUAGAGAAAAUAAAACUGUUGAAGAAACAGGGAAUGUUUGGCUUGUGGAAAAGACUAACUGGGGGACUAAGUGGCUACCUUCAACUUUCUAAAGGUUAUUGUGUGUCUCUCAUGGGCAAGACUAAAACCAGUUGGUUCUAGAACCAGAAGCCAUAGAGAAAGAGAACUUUGGGGAAGUCAGAAUUUCCUAACCAUUAUAAGCUGUUGGACCUCCAGGAAAAGACAGUGAAUUAAUUACACCCAUUGAAUUCACCCCUUCUUAAACCUGCACUUUUUUUUUUUUUUUUAACAUAAACUCACAUAAAUGGGAAAAAGAAAAGAAGUGGCAACAACAAAAUUUUGGAAUCUGGAGGCAAAGGGAUCAAUGGCAGAAGACUGGUUGAGUUUUCUCUGGGGAAAAGAACUAAAGAAAAAAAGAACUAAAAAGAACUAAAGAACUAAAAGAAAAAAAGAACUAAAGAAAAAGAACUUAAAAAAAAUUCUGACAUCAGAUUCCCCAAGGAAAUGCCUGGCUUGUUUAUGUUUAAAUUUAUGAGAAACUGCAAA